RNAcentral lists this non-coding RNA (32 nucleotides) under Rattus norvegicus (Norway rat). The record is from RNAcentral. Lineage: Eukaryota; Metazoa; Chordata; Mammalia; Rodentia; Muridae.
UGUGUAGAUGAAACCUGCUAGAUCAGGUCCAU